GCCCGGUUAGCUCAAUCGGUAGAGCGUGAGACUCUUAAUCUCAAGGUUGCGGGUAAGUUGGCCUUCCGUCGAAGCAAAUCGACGCACAAGAUAUACUGACAUGAAGAAUCAGGUUCGACCCCCGCAUCGGGCU
Non-coding RNA from Xylaria intraflava, 133 nucleotides. Lineage: Eukaryota; Fungi; Ascomycota; Sordariomycetes; Xylariales; Xylariaceae. The record is from the annotation of a GenBank genome assembly.